Molecule: ribosomal RNA, 497 nt
Filed under: uncultured bacterium
Lineage: Bacteria
Description: partial 16S ribosomal RNA
Rfam family: Bacterial small subunit ribosomal RNA
Source: RNAcentral
GAUGAACGCUGGCGGCGUGCCUAAUACAUGCAAGUCGAGCGAACGGACGAGAAGCUUGCUUCUCUGAUGUUAACGGCGGACGGGUGAGUAACACGUGGAUAACCUACCUCUAAGACUGGGAUAACUUCGGGAAACCGGAGCUAAUACCGGAUAAUAUUUUGAACCGCAUGGUUCAAAAGUGAAAGACGGUCUUGCUGUCACUUAUAGAUGGAUCCGCGCUGCAUUAGCUAGUUGGUAAGGUAACGGCUUACCAAGGCAACGAUGCAUAGCCGACCUGAGAGGGUGAUCGGCCACACUGGAACUGAGACACGGUCCAGACUCCUACGGGAGGCAGCAGUAGGGAAUCUUCCGCAAUGGGCGAAAGCCUGACGGAGCAACACCGCGUGAGUGAUGAAGGUCUUCGGAUCGUAAAACUCUUUUGUUAGGAAAGAACAUAUGUGUAAGUAACUGUGCACAUCUUGACGGUACCUAAACAGAAAGCCACGGCUAACUACGUG